GUAGGUGGCAAGCGUUGUCCGGAAUUAUUGGGCGUAAAGCGCGCGCAGGCGGUCCUUUAAGUCUGAUGUGAAAGCCCACGGCUCAACCGUGGAGGGUCAUUGGAAACUGGGGGACUUGAGUACAGAAGAGGAAAGCGGAAUUCCAAGUGUAGCGGUGAAAUGCGUAGAGAUUUGGAGGAACACCAGUGGCGAAGGCGGCUUUCUGGUCUGUAACUGACGCUGAGGCGCGAAAGCGUGGGGAGCAAACAGGGAUUAGAUACCCUGGUAGUCCACGCCGUAAACGAUGAGUGCUAAGCGUCAGGGGGUUUCCGCCCCCCUUAGUGCUGCAGCUAACGCAUUAAGCACUCCGCCUGGGAGUACGGCCGCAAGGCUG
RNAcentral lists this ribosomal RNA (373 nucleotides) under uncultured organism. Its description in RNAcentral is "partial 16S ribosomal RNA". It matches the Rfam family "Bacterial small subunit ribosomal RNA", at positions 527 to 896 of the family's 1533-position model. The record is from RNAcentral.